UACGUAGGGUGCGAGCGUUGUCCGGAAUUAUUGGGCGUAAAGAGCUCGUAGGCGGUCUGUCGCGUCGGCUGUGAAAACUCGGGGCUCAACCCCGAGCCUGCAGUCGAUACGGGCAGACUAGAGUCCGGCAGGGGAGACUGGAAUUCCUGGUGUAGCGGUGAAAAUGCGCAGAUAUCAGGAGGAACACCGGUGGCGAAGGCAGGUCUCUGGGCCACUACUGACGCUGAGAAGCGAAAGCAUGGGGAGCGAACAGG
This 254-nucleotide ribosomal RNA is filed under the name uncultured bacterium. RNAcentral's name for it is "partial 16S ribosomal RNA". It matches the Rfam family "Bacterial small subunit ribosomal RNA", at positions 524 to 776 of the family's 1533-position model. The record is from RNAcentral.